Molecule: ribosomal RNA, 978 nt
Filed under: uncultured Parcubacteria group bacterium
Lineage: Bacteria
Description: bacterial SSU rRNA
Rfam family: Bacterial small subunit ribosomal RNA
Source: RNAcentral
AUCCGGAUUUAUUGGGCGUAAAGCGUAUGUAGGCGGACAUGUUAGUCGUGGGUCAAAUUUCCGAGCUCAACUCGGAAGCUGCUCACGAAACGGCAUGUCUAGAGAAAGUGAGAGAUGACUGGAACUCAUGGUGUAGUAGUGAAAUGCGUUGAUAUCAUGGGGAACACCAAAGGCGAAGGCAGGUCAUUGGCACUUUUCUGACGCUGAGAUACGAAAGCGUGGGUAGCGAAUGGGAUUAGAUACCCCAGUAGUCCACGCCGUAAACGAUGCAUAUUCAGCAUGUGGAGUAUCGACCCUCUGCGUGUUUUAGCUAACGCGUUAAAUAUGCCGCCUGGGAAGUACGAGCGCAAGCUUAAAACUCAAAGGAAUAGACGGGGAUCCGCACAAGUGGUGGAGCAUGUGGUUUAAUUCGACAAUAAGCGAGAAACCUCACCAGGACUAGAAACUUAGCUGCAAGCCUUAGAAAUAAGGCCGCCUUCGAGGGUGCUAAGCAGGUGCUGCAUGGUCGUCGUCAGCUCGUGCCGUAAGGUGUUCCCUUAAGUGGGGAAACGAGCGCAACCCUUGUCGUAUGUUAUACGUGUCAUACGAGACUGCCCAGACUUUAGUCUAGAAACUUUUUUUGGAACAAAAUUAGUUUGUAGUUUAAAGUCUGGGAGGAAGGAGAGGAUGACGUCAGAUCAGCAUGGCCCUUGACGUCCUGGGCAACACACGUGCUACAAUGGCUAGGAUAAAGGGUUGCCAAACCGCGAGGUGGAGCCAAUCCCAAAAACCUAGUCUCAGUUCGGAUUGGAGUCUGCAACUCGACUCCAUGAAGUCGGAAUCACUAGUAAUCGUGAAUCAGAAUGUCACGGUGAAUACGUUCUCGGAUCUUGUACUCACCGCCCGUCAUACCAAGAGAGCUGGUAACACCCAAAGCUCCUGUGUAAAAGCAGGGACAACGGGUGGGAUCGGUAAUAAGGGUAAAGUCGUAACAAGGUA